Molecule: unclassified non-coding RNA, 1050 nt
Filed under: Hevea brasiliensis (rubber tree)
Lineage: Eukaryota; Viridiplantae; Streptophyta; Magnoliopsida; Malpighiales; Euphorbiaceae
Source: RNAcentral
CUUCCUUCAGUUGCAAAAACUGGUAUCCGAAGUGGAAGUGAAGAUACGAAUAAACCUACUGUCACCAAGAUGAGUAAAGAUUCAGAUUCAACUGCUCAAACCUUAUCAGGAACUACUGAUGCAUGUAAGCUAGAAGAAAAUGGCAAGGAUGAAUUAGAGUCAUUAGCUCUGGUGCGAGAUAUGGCAGCUUCAUCAAGCGUUUUUCCAAAUGAGUCUACUGAUUCUGAAGGUGUAGAAUGUAAACAGCAUUCAUUUGUCACAUAUUAUAGUUGCUGUGAUUCAAAGUCGCUACGAAAAUGUGAGAAUUAUGGAAUCAACUAUGAAAUUAGUGAAGAGAAAGUUAUUGGGUCUCAAUUGCAGUUUCAAACAUCAACUUAUGGUUCUUUGUAUUAUGAACCACCGCGAUUAGAAACUUUUACUCCAAUAGAUAUGGAUCCUUUAGUUAUGCAUCAAGUGCAGCAUGAGUACAGUUCUAGCCCAAUUUCUUCUCCCGGUAGUUCCUUCACUCCACCUUGUGUGAAGAGUAGUUGUUUAAGCACCCAAAGCCCUGAAUCUAUAUUGAGAAUUGCUGCUAAGAGCUACCAAAACACACCAUCCAUAUUUCGAAAGCGAAAGACUGGAAGUCAAGUGCACCUGCUUCCUAGUAAAAUUGGUAAAGUAGGUCAAGAAUCUGUUGAAGACAGGUUACAGAGAAGAAUUGAGAAUACUUCAGAGAAGGCUGGGUCUCAAGAAGGAAAUGUGUGCAACAGUCCUCGUCCAGAUAAUAGCACCUCCUUGUCUAAUGGUAAAGCUUUUAAUGCAUCUCCCCCAUACAGGUUGAAAUCCAAAAGAACUGCCGUUUUCAAGUCUGUAGAAAGGCAACUUGAGUUUACUUUUGACAAGGAGAAAUGUGAGAGCACCAAUUCUGUGAAUGGGAGCUCUCUUAUAAGUGAAGAUUGUUCUCUUGCAACAAAGAUAGGAGUGACCUAGAGGACAACCUGGAUGCGGAAUGGGCAUAUUCUCAAAGAUUUUGGCCGACAGUUCCCGAGUGGUAACUGGAUUUUCCAGUAU